Molecule: long non-coding RNA, 835 nt
Organism: Polistes dominula (European paper wasp)
Lineage: Eukaryota; Metazoa; Arthropoda; Insecta; Hymenoptera; Vespidae
Source: RefSeq, a predicted model, not a curated record
AGUGGGGUUGAUGGUGGUUGUGACGGUAACAGCGCCACCAGUGUUGUCCGUUCACGACGCCAACGGCGUCUUACCAACGAGAUCCAACGCCUGGCUUAGAAUUUUAUGCUCUGGCAGGUUACGCAGACGCAGGCGUUCUCUUUAAUAUGGAAGGAGAUAUCGACGGGAAGAGAGAACGAGAUAGAAUGGUCUUCUAUGUGAUCGAUAUGGAGGAUGUUACAUGGAGUUAGUCACUACCCUGAUUCCGCUUGCGCUUAUUUCUUGCGCGGGAAUAACCUGUAUCCUUCGAUUAUUAACAUUAAUCCAGUUGAGGAAAAUCGUUGGAAUAAAAAAUGAUGACGGUUUAAUGGAUAAGCUAAGAAUAGUUGGGAAAAUAAUAUGAUCACGUGUGUGCGUUUAAUCAUAACAAGUAAAACAGAAACCGUGUUGUUAACGUUUAACGUGACAAAGAAAGCACCAAGCGCAUUAGUCACCGUCAUAAUGCUUGUAAGAAUCUCUAGAGAGGAAUGGUAGGAAAAAAUGUGGGCGGAGAGAAAGGAUGAUGCUAAGGAGAAACGGAGAAUGAGGAAAGAUUAAGAUACGGACAAAAGAAAUUCUUAGUUGUAUCGUUUGUAAUAGGAUUUUUUUUUUUUUUUAUUUCUUUUCCUUCUUUUUUUUUUCAAAUACAAUUCUAAGACACGAUAAAACGGUAUCUGGAACACGAUAUUCUUUUAGGUUAUUGAAAAAAGAAGUGAAGGAAAAUAUUACAAUACGAUUGGGAUCUAAAAAUAUUCAACAAUAAGGUACUCGAUCAUUUUCCUAUUCGAGAAGAUAAUAAUUUCAUAUAUGUAUAUAA